GGGGCUGUAUUCACAAAGCAUUUUAUCUUACCGCUAGGAGUGCUCCUAACUCGCGCUAAAACAUUUUACGUAGGACUUUUUUCUUAAAAGUUAUUCACAAAGCCGCUGAGACCUACUCUUACUAAGGAUAAAUCACAAAGAGUGAACUAAGAGUGACGCGCCGUUGCUAUGGAUCACGUCAAUUCUCGUGCACGAGUUUAGAAGCGGUCAGUUCGGUGAUUGGUUGUUCAGACGAGCCCACUGAAUCCCCGAAAAACAAGGAAAUAGCCUAGGCUAGAAAUGAAUUCCUAAUAAGUAGUUAUAGUGCAGUUAGCAGAAUACACGCAUGAUGACAAUUUUGUGCAGACCACGAUAAUGACGUUGUAGCCUGCACGUUCAAGAGAGAGAGAAAGCAAACAAUAAAAAUACGUAAAAGUUAAAAGAAAUUAUGAACUACCCAAGUGUUGACUGAUUUGGGCCAAGGUGUUUACCUAAAAUGUGUUUUCAAAGUGAUCCCUAAAUGCCUGUCCACUCGGUUCCACACGGCCAAAUUCCUUGUAAUGUUGAUCGCCAUCAUCAUCAUCAUCAUCAUCAUCAUCAUCAUCAUCAUCAUCGUCUGGCUGUGGAAUGUUCCUCCUGUGGCAACCCCACGCCAUUGACCAGGGGCCAGCCGCUGCAGCACCGGCCCCGUGGACGGGUGGUGGAAGGAAGAUACCUCCCCCUCCACCCAGCUGCGCUAGAGGGAACAUCAACCGGGCCCAGGGAAUCAAGAACAUUGGGGGCACCUGGGGGACCAGGACAGAGGAGCUUUAAGGGCUGGGCACGUGGCAGACGGGGGAGAGGGCUGACGAGGAAGAGACGUGCUGUUGAACCGACGUGCUUUAACGAAACGUUUUCCCCACCAGGAUAAGCCGGAGGCGUCGGGUGCUGUUUCCCCGCCGACCCCGAGGAAGGGCUGGACCAGGAGGUCCCGUGCCCUUAUUCCCGAUUACGGAAGAACCUUAGUUUAUAUGAUUUCCCUUUUUGUGACUGGUUUUACAAUAAAACCCGUUGCACCGCAACCCUGCUUCGUUCAUUAAUUCCAGAAUCCCCGCCGCCGACGAAGGGGGUUGCCACACUCCGCUUGCAGAGGUUGUGUAGAAUAGCACAUACAGUGAUUACUGUGCUCGCCCUCUCUGGGGUGAGGCGUAUUUCACCGUGGAGGACAUGAAACCGACGUUUCAUCUGCC
RNAcentral lists this long non-coding RNA (1208 nucleotides) under Gadus morhua (Atlantic cod). RNAcentral's name for it is "lncRNA (ENSGMOG00000036891.1)". Lineage: Eukaryota; Metazoa; Chordata; Actinopteri; Gadiformes; Gadidae. The record is from RNAcentral.